RNAcentral lists this ribosomal RNA (860 nucleotides) under Campylobacter jejuni. Its description in RNAcentral is "partial 23S ribosomal RNA". It matches the Rfam family "Bacterial large subunit ribosomal RNA", at positions 1 to 878 of the family's 2925-position model. The record is from RNAcentral. Lineage: Bacteria; Pseudomonadati; Campylobacterota; Epsilonproteobacteria; Campylobacterales; Campylobacteraceae.
AAAGGUAAGCUACUAAGAGCGAAUGGUGGAUGCCUUGACUGGUAAAGGCGAUGAAGGACGUACUAGACUGCGAUAAGCUACGGGGAGCUGUCAAGAAGCUUUGAUCCGUAGAUUUCCGAAUGGGGCAACCCAAUGUAUAGAGAUAUACAUUACCUAUAUAGGAGCGAACGAGGGGAAUUGAAACAUCUUAGUACCCUCAGGAAAAGAAAUCAAUAGAGAUUGCGUCAGUAGCGGCGAGCGAAAGCGCAAGAGGGCAAACCCAGUGCUUGCACUGGGGGUUGUAGGACUGCAAUGUGCAAGAGCUGAGUUUAGCAGAACAUUCUGGAAAGUAUAGCCAUAGAGGGUGAUAGUCCCGUAUGCGAAAAACAAAGCUUAGCUAGCAGUAUCCUGAGUAGGGCGGGACACGAGGAAUCCUGUCUGAAUCCGGGUCGACCACGAUCCAACCCUAAAUACUAAUACCAGAUCGAUAGUGCACAAGUACCGUGAGGGAAAGGUGAAAAGAACUGAGGUGAUCAGAGUGAAAUAGAACCUGAAACCAUUUGCUUACAAUCAUUCAGAGCACUAUGUAGCAAUACAGUGUGAUGGACUGCCUUUUGCAUAAUGAGCCUGCGAGUUGUGGUGUCUGGCAAGGUUAAGCAAACGCGAAGCCGUAGCGAAAGCGAGUCUGAAUAGGGCGCUUAGUCAGAUGCUGCAGACCCGAAACGAAGUGAUCUAUCCAUGAGCAAGUUGAAGCUAGUGUAAGAACUAGUGGAGGACUGAACCCAUAGGCGUUGAAAAGCCCCGGGAUGACUUGUGGAUAGGGGUGAAAGGCCAAUCAAACUUCGUGAUAGCUGGUUCUCUCCGAAAUAUAUUUAGGUAUA